RNAcentral lists this ribosomal RNA (468 nucleotides) under uncultured bacterium. Its description in RNAcentral is "partial 16S ribosomal RNA". It matches the Rfam family "Bacterial small subunit ribosomal RNA", at positions 28 to 507 of the family's 1533-position model. The record is from RNAcentral.
GACGAACGCUGGCGGCGUGCUUAACACAUGCAAGUCGAACGGAAAGGCCCUGCUUUUGUGGGGUGCUCGAGUGGCGAACGGGUGAGUAACACGUGAGUAACCUGCCCUUGACUUUGGGAUAACUUCAGGAAACUGGGGCUAAUACCGGAUAGGAGCUCCUGCUGCAUGGUGGGGGUUGGAAAGUUUCGGAGGUUGGGGAUGGACUCGCGGCUUAUCAGCUUGUUGGUGGGGUAGUGGCUUACCAAGGCUUUGACGGGUAGCCGGCCUGAGAGGGUGACCGGCCACAUUGGGACUGAGAUACGGCCCAGACUCCUACGGGAGGCAGCAGUGGGGAGUAUUGCACAAUGGGCGGAAGCCUGAUGCAGCAACGCCGCGUGCGGGAUGACGGCCUUCGGGUUGUAAACCGCUUUCGCCUGUGACGAAGCGUGAGUGACGGUAAUGGGUAAAGAAGCACCGGCUAACUACGUG